Molecule: long non-coding RNA, 1356 nt
Filed under: Chrysemys picta bellii (western painted turtle)
Lineage: Eukaryota; Metazoa; Chordata; Testudines; Emydidae
Description: lncRNA (ENSCPBG00000019051.1)
Source: RNAcentral
CACUCACUAUGCUGAAGGUCAAGAGUGGGUGCAUAAAGUAAUGCUGGCUACGUGCCACCCCAGAAUUCCACAACCCACUGCUGUCAGAGCAGCCCUCCAUCCUUGUUGUGCUGCUGCAGUGAUACAUAGGUGAUAGAUCAACAGCUGAGAAUCUGACCUCAGAACUAAGAAGGAAGCGUGCUCUUAGAAACACAGGAAAUGGAGAAAGAAGGAUCUGUUUUUCUCUGAUACCCUGGUGUAAAUAUGGAGUAAUUCCGUGACUUCACAAGAGUUACUCCUGGCUUCCACCUGUGUAAAUGGGAACCAGGCCCUUUAUGUCUAUAGAAACAUAGACUGAACGGUAAAAAUAAAUAUGACCCAAUGACUAGAGAGACACUGAUGUGGUGUAAAUAGUGCCACCUUUCACACAAAAGCUAAAAUUACUCGUUGCAAAGCUUAUCUUUUCCCUUUGUUAAGGCUGUUGUGGGGAUGGGCUGAGGUGGGUGUAUUUUGGGGCAGUCCUUUAUUGAUGUAUGUGUGACUUUAGUUUAUGGCGUAGGUGCCCAGAUCACUGGAUAUGAGCCUGUAUAGUAUUUUUAAAAUGGAAUCAAUUCUCUGCACUCGGUCAUUUAACUCUGAAACUUCCUUUGAGGCUGCCAGCCAGGCUACUAUGGCUCAGAUUGUCAAGCCACUUGCCAUCCAUGCACCAGUGGUUUUCCUUGCAGUGGUGUUACUGGACAUUGCGUAGGCACUGCCAGAGUCACUUGCAGCUUACAGUCUCAGGAUCCACGGUGCUCUCCUAGCGAAGGCUUGGAUACAGUUUAAAGGGGAGAACAGCUGGAUAGGUUUGACCUAUAAGAAAGAAGACUUCAGAUAUGUGUGGGUCGAUGGCACAUCUGCUCGGGCUGAAAGUGCAUGGGUCAUGAAACGUAACAGGAGGCAUACACUCACUAAAGAAGACUGUGUGGUUGCCUUCAAGCAAUACCUUUCCCCAGCAGAUUGUUCUUCUCUGAGAAAGUGGAUAUGCAAAAGAGAAGGAGAUGUCAACCUCUUUACAAUGCACCAGGGGAGAGCUUUGUACUCCCCUUACGUACCAACAUCAAAUAUAUAUAACACCUUAAAGAAAGCUACAGAUACCUGCUCAGUGCUCCAGACAUGCACUGGGAUAGUGGCAGUGGGGGAGCACUACAUUCUACAAAGUGGGAUGGAACUGUAUAACAGCAGGAAUAGUAGUGUGAAAUCCUUUAUCAAGUCAGAUUGCAUCUCUGGAAGAUUUGGGCUUCUGUGCGAAUUUAAGUGUCCACCAUGCCAGCAGGGUCUGGCCUGCAAUCCAUACACAGGGCUGUGUGGUGACAGUGUGUUUUGCAGUAAGGAGAA